This is a long non-coding RNA of Apis florea (little honeybee), 229 nucleotides long. Lineage: Eukaryota; Metazoa; Arthropoda; Insecta; Hymenoptera; Apidae. The record is from RefSeq and is a predicted model, not a curated record.
UCUCGCGGAGGAGCAGUAGCAAGAGUUCGGAGCGAAGGAUACACCGGGUCGGGAUUCUCGCGCUGGGGGUGCAGGUCACCACCCCUGGACGCUCGUCUUCCUCGUGGACGCUGCGGAGUGCUGGACCACCUUCGCCACCUACCCCUUCCGCUCCCUCUACGAUGCCUCUCCUUCUCCGCUCCCGUUCGACGGCGCUCCGGUCGUCGGUCGGUCGGUCGGUCGGUGGGUC